CUCACACCCAUGUGUGUAGGACUUCAAAGGAUCACCAUUAAAUUUAGCACAGAUCUUUAGAAAAGUUAUCACAUGGGUAUGAGACUUGAUUUUCUAGAGAUCUGUGUCAAAUUUAAUGGUGAUCAUUUGAAGUUCUAUACACAUGGGUGUGGG
This 153-nucleotide microRNA precursor is filed under the name Amborella trichopoda. RNAcentral's name for it is "MIR8565 microRNA precursor family". It matches the Rfam family "MIR8565 microRNA precursor family". The record is from Rfam by way of RNAcentral. Lineage: Eukaryota; Viridiplantae; Streptophyta; Magnoliopsida; Amborellales; Amborellaceae.